UACGAAGGGGGCGAGCGUUAUUCGGAAUGAUUGGGCGUAAAGAGUUCGUAGGCUGUAAUUGUGGUUAUAUGUUAAAUACUAGGUUUAUGGCUUAGAAAUGCAUAUAAAACUCUUUUACUUGAGUAUAAUAGAGGAUAACAGAAUUUCAUACAUAGGAGUAAAAUCCGAUAAUUUAUGAAGGAAUGUCAGUGGCGAAGGCGGUUAUCUGGAUUAUUUACUGACGCUGAGGGACGAAAGCGUAGGGA
This 245-nucleotide ribosomal RNA is filed under the name uncultured bacterium. RNAcentral describes it as "partial 16S ribosomal RNA". It matches the Rfam family "Bacterial small subunit ribosomal RNA", at positions 524 to 767 of the family's 1533-position model. The record is from RNAcentral.